RNAcentral lists this transfer RNA (75 nucleotides) under gamma proteobacterium NOR5-3. Its description in RNAcentral is "tRNA-Gln". It matches the Rfam family "tRNA". Rfam says of the family: Transfer RNA (tRNA) molecules are approximately 80 nucleotides in length. Their secondary structure includes four short double-helical elements and three loops (D, anti-codon, and T loops). The record is from RNAcentral. RNAcentral also lists the same sequence under 14 other names. Lineage: Bacteria; Pseudomonadati; Pseudomonadota; Gammaproteobacteria.
UGGGGUGUCGCCAAGCGGCAAGGCACCAGGUUUUGAUCCUGGCAUUCGGAGGUUCGAAUCCUCCCACCCCAGCCA